GAGAAGCUUGCUUCUCUUGAGAGCGGCGGACGGGUGAGUAAUGCCUAGGAAUCUGCCUGGUAGUGGGGGAUAACGUUCGGAAACGGACGCUAAUACCGCAUACGUCCUACGGGAGAAAGCAGGGGACCUUCGGGCCUUGCGCUAUCAGAUGAGCCUAGGUCGGAUUAGCUAGUUGGUGAGGUAAUGGCUCACCAAGGCGACGAUCCGUAACUGGUCUGAGAGGAUGAUCAGUCACACUGGAACUGAGACACGGUCCAGACUCCUACGGGAGGCAGCAGUGGGGAAUAUUGGACAAUGGGCGAAAGCCUGAUCCAGCCAUGCCGCGUGUGUGAAGAAGGUCUUCGGAUUGUAAAGCACUUUAAGUUGGGAGGAAGGGUUGUAGAUUAAUACUCUGCAAUUUUGACGUUACCGACAGAAUAAGCACCGGCUAACUCUGUGCCAGCAGCCGCGGUAAUACAGAGGGUGCAAGCGUUAAUCGGAAUUACUGGGCGUAAAGCGCGCGUAAGUGGUUUGUUAAGUUGGAUGUGAAAUCCCCGGGCUCAACCCUGGGACUG
RNAcentral lists this ribosomal RNA (554 nucleotides) under uncultured bacterium. Its description in RNAcentral is "bacterial SSU rRNA". It matches the Rfam family "Bacterial small subunit ribosomal RNA", at positions 73 to 623 of the family's 1533-position model. The record is from RNAcentral.